CUCCCAUACCCUUUUUGCAUCUGCAUUCAUGAUUUGCUUCUGUGACCUUUUUUGGUACUGUUCUUGACUGGGUUUUAAAAAGCAAGAUUGUGCUAGCCUAGUAAAAUGAAUUAGGAAGUCAGUUUGUGUAACAUCAAAAUUAUUUUUUCCUUGAACGUUUGAUAGAACUUUUCUGUAAAUCUUCUGAGUAUAGUGUUUAUAAAAGAUUUUUUUUUUUGUCAAAUGAUUCAAUUUCUUUAUGGGUUAAAGGACUACUAUAACUCUUCAUUUUGGGUCAUAGAUUUUCUUUUAACUUCCUGUGAUCUCAACAAUACAUUUAAUUUGAUUUUUAAAAAUAUUUAAUAUUCUUGUUAUGGAAGUAUCAUUUAGAAGUACCGGUAGAAGUAUCAUUUAAUUUAUCAUAUAUCCAUAUCCUCCAUAAUCUGGGAAACAGAAGUCUUCAUUUAACCACCAUCCCUCUCCAAUUUUACUUAACGUCAUUCCAUUAAAACUGCUUUUGUCAAAAUCACCAAUACUCUCUAAUUUUCCAAAUCUAGUAUAAUUUUUCUAAUCACAUGCAAACUCUGAGCAGCAUUUAACUCAACCGACCACACUAUUCUUCUGGAAACACCCUCUUUUUCAGUUUAUAUAACAUAGUACUGAAUCUGGUUUUUCUACCAGCGUGACCAUUCUGUCUCCUUUUCUUCUUCUUGAUUUCCAAGUGUUGUUUACAGGAACUCAGUCUUUUUCUUUUCUAUCUCAGGUGAAUUUAUCAUUUUUCACUAGUGUGAAUAUGUAUACUUAUUACUUCCAAAUUUUUAUCUGAAGUACAGGCUCUCUCUUCCGAACUCCAGACUUGAAGACUUUUUUUUUGUUUUAACAUAUAGUCAUCUCAAAGUUAUCAUCUUCAAAACUGAACUCAACUACACCCAUUCAGGUCUUUCUCGUUGUAAUGAAUGAACCAUCAUUUAUCUGGUUGCUUGAUCCAGAAAGUUGGAAAUCAGCCUUUAUUUUCAUAAUUCUUUUACCUUCCACAAAUUUUUGUUAAUUCUACAUCCCAAAUAUCUUUAUCUCCUGUGCUAACCCUGGUCUGGGUGUUCACCAUUUCUUGCCCGGACUUCUGUAAUAGCCUCACAAGUAACUGGUUUCUUUACUCUCUUACAUUAGAGUGACCAGCGGUUUCUCUACUCUCUCGUAUUAGAGAGUGACCAGUGUUUUCUUUACUAUCUCUUGUGCUAGAAAGGGACCAGUGGCUAGUUCAGACUGAGUGCUCUGGGAAGGUCUCCCUAAGGAGCUGACAUUUAAGCUAAAAUCUGAAUAACAAGGAGGGACUUGCCACCCAAAGAGCAUUCUAGAUGGAGGAAACACCUUCUGUAAAGAUUAUAAGCUAAAAAAUAAAUUUCAAAUGCUUAAGAACCCUGAAGAAGGCCAGUUUGGCAAGGGGUAGAGAUUUGGUUAAAGAGUUUAGCAGGAGCCAGAUUAUACCAGCCUUCGUAAGUAAGAGCAUAAAAUGUAAACUUUAUUCUAAAUGAGUUAAGAGGCCAAUUAAAAGUGAUGCUUUGAAUUUAAGGGGUGAGAGAGAAGAAUUGAAGAUGUGGCAUAUGAGUCUAAAGUUUGGGAAAGAUGUUAAGGCUAGAGCUAAAGAUUUGAGGGUCACCAGCCUACAAAUGGUGUUUAUAACUAUAUGUUACCUAGAGAGAGAAUAUAGAUAAAGAAGAGAAAGGAGCCUACAUUGAGCCUUGGAGUACUCUAAUGUUAGAGGUGCCAGUAGAGAAAAAUGAGGAAUUGUGACCAGUGAGGAAAAGGAAAACCAGAAGUGUAUGAUGUCAUGGAAGCCAAAUGAAAAAAAAGUUUCAGGAAUGAAGAAGUGGUCACUUCUGUUGAAUGACGGACUGGAGAAGAAAUAGAAAUAGAAUCCUUCUAUUAAGGUCAGCCUUGAGUAGUUUCAAGGACAGUCAAAGGUAGUUUUUAAAUACUCUCUAGAAAUUCUUAUGAGAGGUAAACAAGUAUCUUCCACUUUUCCAAAUUUAAUUUGGAAAAUUAAAUUGGCCCAUUCUAUUUUGUAGCAGAAUUUCAGAGUGGUUGAUAACCUUUUGGACAAGAUCAGGUUUUCUUAAAGCUUACAGCUUCACAGUGUCUCUGACUAGACAGACACAAAGAAAUAAAUAUGUUCUCCUAGCAAUCAGCACAUGGAGGAACAAUUAAACUUGUCUUAUUUAGAAGAAUCCUUCUUGUAGUCAUCACUUUUGAACAGACUAUUUGCAGUCAGAGAUUAUUUAAGGUAGUACUUGGCUUUUUGAAUGUGUUUACUAUAGAAGACUUUGAGAAAUGGGCAGCAAAGAGACACUGAAAAUUAUCUUUUAAAUCCAUUUCCUGAGUAUUUGGGUCAAAUGACUUUCUGAUGUGUUGGACAGUAAUUGAUUCCAGGGAAUUGUUUUUACUGUCUGCCUAAUCACUGUCUUAUUGCUUCUGGAAUAUUGACCUCCUAUGUCCAUCUGGCUGACAGGAUCAAGCCCUGAGUCAGCCUGUAAAAACUCUUCUUGAAAUGUUUCAAAUUAAUUGUGGAUUUGCAGUGGUUUCAUUUUCAAAGGUUUAUGUUUAUUGAUAACAGAAUGAUUGCCACUACCAUCUCUCCAUUCCCGAAGAUCACAUAUUUUUAGAAGACUAGUCACCUAUUGGUGGUAGUUAAUGUUAUGACUCCAUAAGAAUUAAAAUAAGUGAAAUAUUAAUAGAUUGCUUAGAAAUUAUGUUGUUAUGGUUAGAGAUUAUGCCCUAGAGCCACUGUCAUCCCACGCUAGUCACCAGCAGAUCUCCAUGUGAAGUUCAAGACUGUUGUACAUGUUCUAUUUGUUGUCUCUUUACUCUCCUUCCUUCUACUGCCCACAUCUUCGGAACCCCUUGUCCUGCCUUAUCCCCAGGGUUUAGCACCCACACAAUCCUGAUCUUUCCAUUAGUUCCUCAUCCUCUGGAUUUUUCAUUUGUCCAAGUUUUUCAAUGUUGCAGGGCCCUGUUUUCUUCUAUGAAAUAACAAACUCACCUCUGCUGAAAUGCCACCUCUGCCCAGAGAUCAUAUUUGCACUUUAGUAUACACCAUAUCUUUACUCAAAAAAAGGAUGUAAAUUUAAUGGGAAGACUUGCCUAAGAUUAUAUCAUUAGUUGUGAAGCUAGAACUUAGAGCACUAAUAUUCACAGUCACUUACUUCACUUGUAAAUAGAGCUGGAGUUGCCUUAUUAUAUUGCAAUUUUAUGACUUAAAGCAUUGUAUUUGUCAUGAAAAAACACUUAGUAAAAACAAAUUAAUGGUUAAUAAUAAUAUUGUUCCUAUAGCUGAUUUCCUUCAAAGGUGCUGAGGAAUGGGCUAAAAUAUAUAAUCUCACUUCCCAUUUGUUAAUUCCUUUAUUUAUUUGUUUAUGCUAUGCUUCCUAUAUCUGAAUGGCUCUAUAUAUGUCUCAGUUUAAUCUAGCAAAUGUGGGGACUAGAAUGAUUUGCUUUAUUGAUAUGAUAAUGUAUUAGAAUUACAUUAAAAUAUAGAAACUUUUCUCUGUUUUUAUAAAGGGUAGGAUCGUUAUUGAUUGAGAUUUCCAGCUGAAAAGUUUGCUACUCUUUUUUUUCUUGAAGUAGAAUUUUUUAAAUGAAAUAAUUAAGCUGUCUCACCAGAAUAUUUUAAUUGAAAAAAUUAGCUUUGCAUAGAAUUCAUAGGUCUUAUUAUCAUAUAAUUUUCAUAACAUUGUGAAGAUUUCAGUCUUCUCCAAAAUAAGCAGCAAUAAAUAAUAAUCAUAUAUAUUCCUUGAUACAGCUUGGCCAACUGUAUUUCAACAUACAAAAACACACAAGGCCUACUUUACUUUUUUUUUCUCCCCUUUGAGACAGGUUUCACUCUGUCAUCCUGGCUAGAAUGCAGUGGCACAAUCACGGCUCACUGCAGCCUUGAAUUCCUGGGCUCAAGUGAUUCUUCCACCACAGCCUUCCAAACACUAAGAUUACAGGCAUGAGCCGCUGCAUCCAGCUGUACCCUACUUUCAUGAUAAAGAUAAUAUGGCAUUUAGGGCUUGUCUUGAUUAAAAGCCAAGAAUAUUAUUUGCAUUUCUUUGAAAGAAAAAGCUGAAUUGAGGAUAAAGUAGCGUCAAAAUGACGACCAAAUGGAAAGGAGAUUAUAAUUGCAGAUUUCAGAACACAGUUUAGUAUACUUAUGUAUAUUACUUCUUAAAUAAUGGUUUGAGGAGUGCAGAUUAUUCAUCCAUUUGAUUUGAGAUCUCUCCAUGCUUCAUUUUUUUUCCCUGGACAGUUAGAAUUUUCCCUCAUGGUUCAGACUCUUAAAUAUAUAUGCUCACCCUAAGUUCUUUAAAGUCCCUGAAAAGUUGCCUUCUCUAUUAGUCAUUCAUUCUUUAUUCUCCUUUUUGAUUUUUCUGUCAUCAGUGACACCUGAAUACAUUUUCCAGCCUACACUCAUUGACCAAAAAAGAAAAAACUUGGCAUCAACAUUGUUUUUAGUCAUUUAGACCAUUAUGUCCUUAUGUGGCAACUACUUUAUAAAGUAACAUGAACAUGACUCAACUUUUGGCUCUAAAAUCAGAAGAAAUAAAGAUUUGCAAUAGCAGUAUCUAUUUGUGAGCAAUAACAUUUUUAUAAAUUGAUCCAUUUCCAGACACUAUUUUUAAAGUUGGUUUAAGUGAUAGGCAUUUUUUAAGUGUUGUACCUAGCAAACUAUGAAAAGUCUCUUAUUAAUCAUUUGUAUUUCAACUUAUUUCUGAACUUAAAUCUUAUUAUAUAUAAUACUUUGCAUCCUAAUGCUAAAUCUCAACAUAAAGUAGUAGGAGCAGAGUUUCUACUCAGAAUCAGUUUUACAUGAAAUGAAAACAACCUUGAAUAAUUAAAGCAAUUUUUAAAAAGAAAAGUUAGAUGUCUAUACUCCCUGUUUUAAGACUUACUGUAUAAAAUUACAGUAAUCAAGACUAUAUAUUACUAUAGGGAUAGACAUAUGAGGGAACUUUUAAAAGUUCAUGGAAAUUGAAUUAAAAGAUAAAAAAUAUAAACCUUAUCUCUCAAUGGAAGCUCCAUCAAGGUCUAGACACUUUUGUAAGCAAUGAUACCAGCCAUUUAGUUCAACCCUAAAACACUGAGGGUCCUAGGAAUUUAACUAUGUUAAUGAAGUCUUUUUUACAUUAUUAACUGAAGACGAAUGGGUGCCUUUUAAGAUUUUUUAUGAUUAGGAAACAAAAAGAAGUCAGAAGGAGCCAAAUCAGGGCAGUAAUGUGGAUGCCUAAUGAUUUCCCAUCAAAACUCUCACAAAAUUGCCCAUGUUUGAUGAGAGGAAUGAGCAGGAGCAUGGUCAUAGUGGGGAAGGACUCUCUGGUGAAGCUUUCCCAGACAUUUUCCUGCUAAAGCUUUGGCCAAUUUUCUUAAAGUAUUCUCAAUAAGUAUUGUUCUUUGGCCCUCCAGAAAGCUAACAAGAAAAUGCCUUGAGCAUCCCAAAAACGUGUUGCCAUGACCUUUGCUCUUCACCAGUCUGCUUUUGAUUAGACUGGACCACUUCCUCCUGGUUGCCAUUGCUUUGAUUGUGCUUUGUCUUCAGCAUCAUACUGGCAAAGCCAUGUUUCACCUCUGUUACAAUUCUUUGAAGAAUUUCAUCUCACCUGUUAGUAAUUUUCAUUGAAAUCUCUGCUCUUGUCUGCAGCUCAUCUGGGCACAACAUUUUUGGCACCCAUCAAUUGGAAAGUUUGCUUAACUUUAAUUUUUCAGUCAGAAUUACAUAAGCUAAACCAAUUGAAUUGUGGUUUAGGCUGUGGUGUUGGCUAUUUGUGUUGUUAAUUAUCAGUCCUCUUCAAUUAGGGCACAAUUAAGAUGAAUUUUUUCCUUGCGAAUUUAUGUGCCUGGUCUGCUGCUGCAGGCUUCACCUUCAAUAUCAUCUCAUCCCUUCUUAAAACGAUUUGUAAGCUGCUGAUUUCUUUGGGGCAUUGUCCACAUAAACUUAUCAUAAGGCAUCAAUGAUUUCACCAUUCUUUCACCCAAGCUUCAUUAUAAAUUUAAUGUUUGUUCUUGCUUCAAUCUUUGCAGAAUUCAUAUUCUGAUAAGGAUUCUUUUCAAACUGAUGUCUUACCCUUCUUAGUCCCUCAAACUAGAUCCUGUUCAGACAUGUUAUGACGAGUUAAUUCAAGUUUAUUUUGGUGCAGACAAAAUUGAAAUCCAUACCGUUUUUCUAUAAUGUACAUUUUCCAUGAACUUUUUAAGACCCCUUAUAUAGAACAAUGGAGCAGGGUAGAGAGACCUUGCUCAACCCUCAUGUAUAUGAUCAAUUAAUUUUCAACAAAACUACCAAGGCAAUUCAAUUGGGAAAGGAAAGUCUUUCAACAAAUGCGACUGAAAAAACUGGAUAUUCUUACUGAGGAAAAGAAACAUUGACCCUUACCUCACAUCAUACAUAAGAAUUAGCUUUAGUUUCACAGCAGAAAAAUGCGGGACCCAUAAGAAUUAGCUUGAAAUGUAUUAUAAACCUAAUUAUAAAAGCUAAAACUAUAGAACUUCUAGAAGAAAAUUUUUGCAGCCUUGAGUAUGCAAAGAUUUUUUGGAUAAGACACAAAAAGCACAAACCAUUUUUUAAAAUGAUAGAUUAUACUUCCUUAAACUUAAAAAGUUUUAUUCUUUGAAAGAUACCAUUAAGAAACAAAAAGGCAAGUCAUAGAAUGGAAGCAAAUAUUAGCAAUAUGUAUUAACAAAGGACUUCAAUUCCGUAUAUAUAAAGAACUCAUAACUCAAUAAGACAAACAACCAAUUAAACAAUGAAGAAAAGAUUUCAACAGAUCAUUCAGAAAAGAAAGGAUGGCCAAUAAUCUUAUGAAGAAAAUGCUGAAUAUCAUUAGUCAUCAGAGAAAUGCAAAUUAAAACAGCAGUGAAAUACAUUACACCAAUUAGAAUGGCUGUGAGUUAAAAAUCUGAUAACGCCAACUGUUGAUGAAGAUGUAGAGCACCAGUACUCUUCUACACUGCUGUUGGGAACAUAAAAUGGUAUAACCACUUUGGAAAUCAGUUUGGCAGUGUCUUACAAAGUUAAACAUAUGUCUACCAUACAACCCAACUAUUUCAGUACUAGGGCAGUAUUUACUAUCCAAGAGAAAUAAAAACAUGUUCACACAAAGAGUUGUACAUGAAUGUUAUAGCAACCUUAUUCUCAAAAGCCAGAACCUGGAAACAACCCAAAUGUUCAUCUGCAGGUGAAUAGAUUUUAAAAAUUGCAGAUAUUCAUAUAAUAGAAUUCUACUAGCAUUACCACAGAUGUACCCAACAACAUGGAUUUAUCUCAGAAACGUUAUGCUGAGUGAAAGACAUCAGAUAUAAAAGAGUAUGCAAUUUAUAUGGAAGUCUAGAAAAUGCAGACUAAUCUAAAGUGGCAGGAAGCAGAUCUGUGGUUGUCUGGGGGUCAGGGUAGAGAUAGAAAUUGACUACAGAGAGACACAAGAAAAUUCUUGGUAACAAUGGACAUGUUCUAUAUAUUGAUUGUUGUAGUGGUAACACAGAAUUAACAUGUACCAAAACUCACCAAAUUGUAUGCUUUGAUAGGCACAGUUAUAGAUAAAUUAUACUUCAGUAAAGCUAAUAUUGUAAGUGCAAUUUGAAGUAUUUGGUGGUUUCUUUAAACCUUAUGAUUUUAUAUGAUGCACUUCAUUAUUGAUAUAGCAAAAUACUCUGCUUUUAGAAAAGAGAAAUUAACAUCAUCUCACAUCUUCUACCAUCCUCCCUACCCCACCUCUGUUUAAAGGAUCAAAGUUGUACAUAAAAUUGAUAAAAUAAGCACGUAAAAUCAUAACUAUUAAUCAUGUAAGGUUAUCAAAGAUUGAAAGGCUACAGAGCAGCCUAGUGCAAUGGGAAGCGUAGAGGAUGUUUGAAGUACUAAGACUUGGUUUCAUAUCCAAAAUCUAGCUCUAAUAGUAUAUCUUAAACUUAGAAAUGAGUAUAUUACGUAUUACCAAAAAUUAGGAUCAAGUGAAACAUGCUAAGGCACUUGCAAACACAACAAAUCCCUGUUCCUACCCACUGUAUAGUCAGAUCUUAACUGCUUGCAGAUAAAAGUUCUAAAUAAGAAUUAGUUUGAUUUGCCAAUGAACUCUGAGAGAGCAACUGGAAAUCUCAACCAGAAAUCUCCAACACCUAGCCUAGCACCUGGCAUAAAUACAUGUUAACUAAAUUAAUUUCCUAUUUCUGAACCCCAGUGUUUUUAUUGGCUCUGUUCAGAGAAAUUAAGGCACAUGGGGCCAUAGACUAUUUUCUCUAAGCUUAUGAGCCGAAACAUAAUAUGCUUACAAGAAGAGACAUUAGAACUCAUAACUUUAUACUGACUAAUGUUCAAAUACAAUUAUGUUAGGUAUCCAUUUGCUUCUGACAUCACAAAAGAACAGAUCACAAAAGACUUGGACUUAAGCUGUCUGCUUUUCCUUGCAUAAUAAGUCCCCUGGUUCAGGGAAUCCAGUCAUUAUAGAAUUUAGCCUAACUGCUUCUAAUCCAUGUAGGACUUUUUAUUAAAGAUGAAAACUAGUAAAGAAUUAACCAUGAGAGGAAAUAAAAGAUUAAUUCAAGUCAGUCAUCACCGUAUCUAUAUCUUAAGAAGUUAAUAGUUCAAAAUCUUUUUUUUUUUUUUUUUUUUUUUACUGGUAGAAGACUUCUGAAUAUACUCGCCGCUUCUGAAUAUACUCCCAGCCCCAUGGUGUUAGGGGUAGGUUGCAACUAUGUAACUCCAAGCUGACUGGGCUGGCACCAACAUCAUCAGCACUGCUAACAUCUUCCAGCAAGUUUUAGUUCAUUAAUCUUAAUGCCAUACAUGUACCCUUUCUCUAGCUAGUGGGUGGCCAGACAUAAAAACUUGCAAACAGAGGCAAAGACAUUAAUGGGAUGAUGCAAGAAGAGAGUUGGAGAUUUUUUUUUAAAUCUCCUUUGCACAUAGGAGUGACCCUAAUCAAUGCUUUUUGGUGAAUAUAAGCAGAAUACAUCUUGUUGCCUUCUCUAGAAUAGAGAACUAAGUAGAUAUGUUGCCUCUGGGUUCAAUAUUUAUUUCUGGAAACUCUUUUCAUUUUACUACCAUCCUCUAAUAAACCAAUACAUCCACUUUGUAAAAUAUAAGACUCUGGAGUUAUUAUAUGUGCUUAUAAAAACACACCUUUAGAUAAGUGGUUUUUCCAAUCUUCUGAUACUCCUCAUUUCCUUCUCAUUGAUUUUCAAGUUUCAACACAAUUUUUUAAAAAUAAGGAUUUAAACAUGAGACAGUAAACCUGGGUAAAGAACUAAGGGGUUUUGAAAUUCAAAGUUAUUAUUUCUGUUUUUAGUAGCUGUUCCACCCUUGCAAAUAUGUAUAAUAAUUAGCCACAAUUAAUAUUCCUCUUUUCCCUAAUUCAUUAUAAAAAGUAUAACUUCUAUACAAUAAUGCAUUACAUUUUUAUCAUGAGAAAUCAUAACAAUAUCUUUAUAUUUGAACCUGAACUUCAAUAUGAAUUUGUGAGAUUUUUUAUAUUAAUGUGUGUAUUUUGUAAUGUAUGUGGUAUGUGUAUAUAUAUGUUUAUUUUAGACACAUUUGACUACAUUUAUAUAUUCAUAGAGAUUUACAUAGAGGCAUUAAAAAAACAGGCAUAGUCAGUCAUGGAUGUUCAUUAUAUAUAAAGGUUAUUGGGGAUGCAAAGAUAUAAAAGAUAGAAGAACCUAGUAAUUGCCUUUAAGAUCAGAGCACAAAGCAUUAGUUUGGAUUUUACAAGGCCAGCCAGCAACAAAAGAGCAGUAAUUUAUGAGCUCAGCGUAAAAGAAUAGCAUAAUUGCAUUAAAAAUUAAUGCUAAUGAACACUAAAAUGGGGAAGGUGGUUAUGAUGAAAGUUUGUAUUCAUCUUUCCUGGUUUGAAUGAUGGCUAGUGGCUUGAUUAAUGGCUUAAUUUCUAUCAAUUAGCGGGGAAAAAUCUCCUGCGAGACAAGGGUAAAUUGAGCAUUGAAUUACAUAUCUUGCUUUUGUGUGCUAAGAAAAAAGAGCUGCGUAUCUCUGAUAUUAGCCACAGUGACAAAUGUGGUGUGCCCUGCGAUGUCUGCAUUAGCUCUCCUGACAGGCGAGUUGUGUGUGGUUAUGGGGUGUUUAGAGAUGGCUGGCAGACAGCAUUCACUGCAAGUUCCUUAGAAACAUACAACUCUUCCAUCUACAGAAUUUUAAUUAGAGUCGAUAAGGAUUCUAGAAUUAAAAUGGACAGCAAACAGCAACUGCAGAAUCUGUAUUCUGACCUAUUAAUCUGGUAUACAUCAAAUUAUAUUCCUUUUUCCUACCCUAUUAAAAUAAGAAAACUUCCAGUAGCUUUAGUUUUGUUGGGAUUAUGAAUUCUUACCACUCUAUUAAAGUGGAUUUGACUAUCAAUGUUGAUUACAUUUGCAAUAAGCAUAAGGCAGUAGUCUAUAUUUUGGGACUAUGUAGUGGUUGUUGGUUUAACCAAAUUCAUGGAAACCAUUCUUGUUUUUUGUAACAAUUGCUGAACAGUAAAUAAAGAGCAGCUUAAAGUGACAAUUUCCUACUUAGGUUGUUUGCAGGCUUAAGGGAAAAAAAUGCUAGGUUUUUAGAAACUUUUUAAAUUCAUUUACAAAGGUUUUCUAGAUGUGAUAUAUAUAUAUAUCCCUUUAAAAAUUUCAAAUGUGAAAGAUUCUGAAAAUGCACAUCUGUAAUCUAGUUCAAGAUAAUGCCAGAAGAGUAAGAUAUUAUAUAAAAUAUAUAUAUUUUAUGUAUAUAUGUAUGUGUGUGUGUAUAUAUAUAUAUAUAUAUAUCCUACAAAUAAAGCUACACUGUAUUUUACUGAAUGAGUAAGCAUUAAAAUGCAGAAUAAGGACAAUAUCAAGAAUAUUUAUUACUUAUUAUAAAUGGAUGGAGUGGGGAAAAAAUAAAUUGUUGCUUGGCAGGAGUGGGUAAAGAAUUCAUUUGACUGGAAGAUGACUAGUCACAAUUCAGGGGUUGAAUCCCAGUUGUACCACCAACUAGCCAUGUGGCUGUCACCAAGUUAUUUAUUAGCCUCAGUUUCUCAUCUUUACAAUGAGGGUAACAGUAUUAUUCCUCAUGGUCAUGAUAUUUAAAUGAGGUAAUCCAUGUGAAGUGCUCAGCGCAGAGUGCCUUAAAUUUCUAUUGCUGUUACUAUUACUUACUUCUGCUACCAGAACAGCUCAUCUGGCCUUCUAAACAAUGACUUAAAUGAAAAAUUCAUUUCUAUGACUUUCCCCACUGGAAAGGUAUUACAUAUAUCGAUGAUGAAAACAAAAAUUUCCGUGGACAUAUAUACACCAGAACAAAAUAUGUUUGCUUUAAAACAUGGUUUCUACCGCCUAACUGUCAUUUUGGGUAGUUUGUGUUAUAAGACAUCCAUUAGGAAGUGACAAGAUCUCCCAUCUCUUUAGUCACUGAAGCCUGGGUAACCAUAUGUCAGCAAAAUACCACUUUCCUAUUCAACCCAGAGCAUUCAGUGAAUCAUGGUAGACUCCAGUGCCUUGGUGGGUGGUAAAAUUCAGCUGGGCCUUUUGUGCCUUCUCAUAGAUGUGCACAGGCCUGUCCUCCACUGCUUCCACUCCUUCUCUCCUCCUCCUAUCAUUUCCACAUCCUGGCACACCACAGGUUUACCAGAAGAUGUAUGAGCUAAAGCCAUUUUCUACUUGCCUGAACUCAAGAAUAUUGCCAGCUUAUUAUAAACCAUACUGUCAGAAAUAUACAGAUUUAUAUAAGAAUUGUUUAGCCAACUUCCGUGUCUUUAGUACUGUUACUAAAUUAGCACUUUUGUUUAUGCUGUGCUUCCUGUAUCUGCUACCAUUUCUUAAGUGCUUUUAAUGCUUCCCUAUCGCUGUGUGGAGCACAGGUUAUCAUCUCCCAGAUUUUUGUGGCUUGCUUUUUCACAUCAUUUUUGCCUUCUGAAAUACCACCAUGUCAGAGAGUUCUUCUCUGGUUACCCCAUCUGAAAUAGUUUCCUUUCCUCCUUUCUAGCCCUCUAGCCUGCUCUAUUUUCCUUGAUAUUAUAUUAUUUACUUGUUUAUUAUUUGUCUCCCUCAUUAAAACAUAAGCUCAUGAAGGAAGAAACUCUCAUUCAUUUCCAAGUCCUACUAUGUGGAACAAUGCCUGGUACAUUGAAUGUGCUCACUUAUUUGAAAAGAGAGGGAUGGAGGGAGGGAGGGAAGAUGUGGGGGGGAAAUCUCUCAACCACCCUAUGAUGUUUAGGCUAUUACUAUCUCCAUGCCAUAGAUGAGAAAAUGGAGACCAACACUCUUGAACCACUUGCCCAAAGCCACACAGCUGGUACAUAGCAGAGACAGGGUUUAACCCAGAUAGCCCAAACCCAGAGCCCUUAAAACUCACCACUGAGGGUGCAGCGCACCAGCAUGGCACGUGUAUACAUAUGUAACUAACCUGCACAAUGUGCACAUG
RNAcentral lists this long non-coding RNA (12388 nucleotides) under Homo sapiens (human). RNAcentral describes it as "HSALNT0315669". The record is from RNAcentral. Lineage: Eukaryota; Metazoa; Chordata; Mammalia; Primates; Hominidae.